UAUUGGUGCGGUUCAAUCGGAGAGCAUUACUCUAAAGUGUAGAGACGUGUUGUUUGAUUGAGCCGUGCCAAUAUC
RNAcentral lists this microRNA precursor (75 nucleotides) under Carica papaya (papaya). The record is from RNAcentral. Lineage: Eukaryota; Viridiplantae; Streptophyta; Magnoliopsida; Brassicales; Caricaceae.